AAAAAACAAAUGACGUUCGCAUCUCCUCAUCCACGCAUUGAACAGCCCCCGUCGAUGGCGCUCGGCCCCGUCGCUCCCCCGCCCCGUCGCCGGCCCUCCCCCGCCCUGUCGCCGGCCCUCCCCCGCCACCCUGUCGCCGGCCCCGUUGCUCCCCUGCCCUGUCGCCGGCCGCGUCGCUCCCCCGCCCCGUCGCCGGCCCUCCCCCUCGUCCAUGAACCGCCCCGUCGAGGUCCAGGUCCGCGACGGAUCCGCCUACGCCGGCGUCUUCCACACCACCUGCCUCGACGCCGGAUACGGUGAAUUUGUGUUUAUGCUCUGUGGCGUUGAUCUGUAAAUCUUCCGAUGCUAUUUUGUGCCAUAUGGGCAAACACUAAGUUCUGAGGAAGAGAUGUCAUAUGUGUACCAUAUGGACAAACACUCUACAUUCUAAAGGACGGGCAGAACGUGCAUCCCCUGGAUUUGUGUCCCAGAUCAUGGAGGAAUUACCCUCUCUGCUGGUGCGUUUACAGUGCAUUAUUUGUAGUUCUAUUGGGAAGACAGUUAGAGACCCCGAGAGGCUGCUGCGAGCUGCUAUUCCCCUCCUCGAGCUGGCGGACUGAUGAUGGAGGACCCGCCCUCUUUGCUGCAUCAGCGCCGCCGCUGCCACUUCUGCUUCUGUUGCCCGUUGGCCCAGGGCGGCGCAUGUCCUCUGCUUCUAAGGCUUCUUCUGCUGAUGGUCUUCAAGGUGCUGCUGCUGCUCCCAAGCUGUGGCUGGCUUCGCUGCUGCAGCACCAUGCCGUCUUCAACGACUCACCAACGACGGCAGCUCCUCCGCUUCAGGGCUACUGCGGCAUGCGUGUCUCCCUCCUCCAGGGAGGUUGUGCGGCACCGAGCGGGUGUACGGCGAGGUCUUCGUAAUGGCAUCAAGUCACCCUUGCCAUAUGGAUCAUAUAUUUGCUUCAAAUCACGGAAGCUUGGGUUGAUGGAGUGCUUGUCUUUAGUUUUUGUUUUGAGUUUGUGAAACUUGCUACCUAUGAUGAAACUGUGCAAUAUUGAUGAAACUAUGUAUAUGUAUGGAUGAAACUUGCUACUAUUGGUAACAUGUGUUGGAUAUGUGUUCGAUAUAUAUAUGUGUUCAUGACUAUUGGUAAUAUGUGUUGAAUAUGC
This 1146-nucleotide ribosomal RNA is filed under the name Triticum aestivum (bread wheat). Its description in RNAcentral is "partial small subunit ribosomal RNA". Lineage: Eukaryota; Viridiplantae; Streptophyta; Magnoliopsida; Poales; Poaceae. The record is from RNAcentral.